Molecule: ribosomal RNA, 793 nt
Filed under: uncultured archaeon
Lineage: Archaea
Description: bacterial SSU rRNA
Rfam family: Archaeal small subunit ribosomal RNA
Source: RNAcentral
CGGCUCAGUAACACGUGGAUAACUGCCCUAAGGUGGAGGAUAACCCCGGGAAACUGGGGAUAAUACUCCAUAGGUUAAAGGUACUGGAAUGUUCUUUAACCGAAAGUUCCGGGCGCUUUAGGAUGGAUCUGCGGCCGAUUAGGUUGUUGUUGGGGUAGUGGCCCAACAAGCCUGUAAUCGGUACGGGUUGUGGGAGCAAGAGCCCGGAGAUGGAAUCUGAGACACGACUCCAGGCCCUACGGGGCGCAGCAGGCGCGAAAACUUUACAAUGCAGGAAACUGUGAUAAGGGAACCCCGAGUGCCCGUAUAUGCGGGCUGUCCGGAUGUUUAAAACGCAUCCGAAGAAAGGGCCGGGCAAGACCGGUGCCAGCCGCCGCGGUAAUACCGGCGGCUCGAGUGGUGGCCACUUUUAUUGGGCUUAAAGCGUUCGUAGCUUGAAUAAUAAGUCUCUUGGGAAAUCUGCAGGCUUAACCUGCAGGCGUUUAAGAGAAACUGUUGUUCUAGGAACCGGAAGAGGUGAGAGGUACUCCGGGGGUAGGAGUGAAAUCCUGUAAUCCCCGGGGGACCACCGAUGGCGAAGGCAUCUCACCAGGACGGCUUCGACAGUGAGGAACGAAAGCUGGGGGAGCGAACCGGAUUAGAUACCCGGGUAGUCCCGGCCGUAAACGAUGUGCGUUAGGUGUGCCGGUGACCACGAGUCACUGGGGUGCCGAAGGGAAACCGUGAAACGUACCGCCUGGGAAGUACGGUCGCAAGGCUGGAACUUAAAGGAAUUGGCGGGGGAGCACAAGGG